RNAcentral lists this non-coding RNA (24 nucleotides) under Rattus norvegicus (Norway rat). The record is from RNAcentral. Lineage: Eukaryota; Metazoa; Chordata; Mammalia; Rodentia; Muridae.
UGGAAGCACUUAUUGCCCCCUUUU